ACCCUGGAUACUCUAAGUGAAGGAGAUCCGCCUAUACAGAUCGUGCAGACUGCAGAGCUGCGCAUCUCACUGCGAGAAGAUGGAACAAGUGCUGGACUUACAAACCCAUAGAUAACGACAAUCCAUAGACGGUACGCCGCAGAUAAGGCUCCAGCCUCUUCGCGAACCAUUUCCAUCGAGCAACAUCAUCGCUGUAUUUUUGUCGACACAUCGUCAUCUGAAUGUUUGAAGGCACGAAUCAGUGCUGUCUCUGGAGAUUUCGCCCAGUAAGCCAACACAAACGUCCAAUUUUAAAGGAGGCACUUCGUCGCAAGCAUGGAUGCGUCGAUUCAAACUAGUAUGCAGGAAGAGAAGUCACCACGAUGGGAGCUCAUACGAAGAUGAAUGCAGUAGGCAAUAGAUGAAAGAAACGACCUUCAAGUGCGACGCUGCCUUGAGACGGCACCACACCUGAAGAAAUGGCUGCAUCCCGAUAGCAACGAAUCGGCUAUGCACAGAGCAGUGGAGAAUAACGCUUUCUAAAUUUAUGUUUUGCUUCUUUCGCACGCGUGCAUGUUCAGAAGUAAACGAGAGAAGCGAUGCUUAAAUGAUUUGAAUCCGCUUCAGCGACCAGAGCUUCAACGACAACGGUUCAUCGUUACGAAAUACGAGGGCUCUUACGUAGAAUACCUGAAAAACAGAACAGAUUGUCAAACGAAGCAUGUCGACUUCGAAACAAGUGUGGACCUCAUGUAUGACGCACUCGACAACAUUGAGUUGAUCCGACCUAUUCUACAAGGGCUGUACGCCGAAAUAAAUCUUUUAAAAUAAAACAUUAAAAAUUCCACGCUUAAAAUUCCACCCUUCGAAAUCCAUUUUCGGAAAUAAGCCGUUUAAAAAUACACGUCCUCAAAAUAAACGCUGUUAAAAUAAAUCAUGGUUGGGGUUAGGAAGGUAACUCCCCGUAUCAAAGUAGUGAUAUCCGUAUGGGCGACACGA
Long non-coding RNA from Ornithodoros turicata, 978 nucleotides. RefSeq lists it as uncharacterized. The record is from RefSeq and is a predicted model, not a curated record. The transcript is spliced from 3 exons. NCBI's taxonomy places the organism in Eukaryota, Metazoa, Arthropoda, Arachnida, Ixodida, Argasidae.